GACGGGGGGUCCUAGCGUUGUUCGGAAUCAUUGGGCGUAAAGCGUGUGCAGGUGGUUUUAAAAGUUAGAUGUGAAAUCCUUGGGCUUAACCCGAGAAGUGCAUUUAAAACUGUAAAACUUGAAUAUGGAAGAGGGUCGUGGAAUUCCAGGUGUAGUGGUGAAAUACGUAGAUAUCUGGAGGAACACCGGCGGCGAAGGCGGCGACCUGGUCCAAUAUUGACACUCAUACACGAAAGCGUGGGGAUCAAACAGG
This 253-nucleotide ribosomal RNA is filed under the name uncultured bacterium. RNAcentral's name for it is "partial 16S ribosomal RNA". It matches the Rfam family "Bacterial small subunit ribosomal RNA", at positions 524 to 776 of the family's 1533-position model. The record is from RNAcentral.